CAAAGUGUAGCUUAAACAAAGCAUCUGGCUUACACCCAGAAGAUUUCACAUUCAAUGACCACUUUGA
This 67-nucleotide transfer RNA is filed under the name Mirounga leonina (Southern elephant seal). RNAcentral describes it as "tRNA-Val". It matches the Rfam family "tRNA". From Rfam's summary of the family: Transfer RNA (tRNA) molecules are approximately 80 nucleotides in length. Their secondary structure includes four short double-helical elements and three loops (D, anti-codon, and T loops). Further hydrogen bonds mediate the characteristic L-shaped molecular structure. tRNAs have two regions of fundamental functional importance: the anti-codon, which is responsible for specific mRNA codon recognition, and the 3' end, to which the tRNAs corresponding amino acid is attached (by aminoacyl-tRNA synthetases). tRNAs cope with the degeneracy of the genetic code in two manners: having more than one tRNA (with a specific anti-codon) for a particular amino acid; and 'wobble' base-pairing, i.e. permitting non-standard base-pairing at the 3rd anti-codon position. The record is from RNAcentral. RNAcentral also lists the same sequence under 2 other names. Lineage: Eukaryota; Metazoa; Chordata; Mammalia; Carnivora; Phocidae.